GACGUAGGGGGCCAGCGUUGUUCGGAAUUACUGGGUGUAAAGGGUUCGUAGGCGGUGUGGCAAGUUGGGAGUGAAAUCUCUGGGCUCAACCCAGAGGCUGCUUCCAAAACUGCUGUGCUUGAGGCCGGGAGAGGCGAGUGGAAUUCCCAGUGUAGCGGUGAAAUGCGUAGAUAUUGGGAGGAACACCAGUGGCGAAGGCGGCUCGCUGGACCGGUUCUGACGCUGAUGCGCGAAAGCGUGGGGAGCAAACGGG
This 253-nucleotide ribosomal RNA is filed under the name uncultured prokaryote. Its description in RNAcentral is "partial 16S ribosomal RNA". It matches the Rfam family "Bacterial small subunit ribosomal RNA", at positions 524 to 776 of the family's 1533-position model. The record is from RNAcentral.